This 377-nucleotide ribosomal RNA is filed under the name uncultured bacterium. RNAcentral describes it as "bacterial SSU rRNA". It matches the Rfam family "Bacterial small subunit ribosomal RNA", at positions 523 to 898 of the family's 1533-position model. The record is from RNAcentral.
AUACAGAGGUGGCAAGCGUUGUUCGGAAUUACUGGGCGUAAAGGGCGCGUAGGUGGCCUUCUUAGUCAGACGUGAAAUCCCCAGGCUUAACCUGGGAACUGCGCCUGAUACUGGAAGGCUCGAGUUCGGGAGAGGAAUGUGGAAUUCCAGGUGUAGCGGUGAAAUGCGUAGAUAUCUGGAGGAACACCGGUGGCGAAGGCGGCAUUCUGGACCGAAACUGACGCUGAGGCGCGAAAGCCAGGGGAGCAAACGGGAUUAGAUACCCCGGUAGUCCUGGCCCUAAACGAUGAGUGCUUGGUGUGGCGGGUAUCGAUCCCUGCCGUGCCGAAGCUAACGCAUUAAGCACUCCGCCUGGGGAGUACGGCCGCAAGGUUGAA